UACGAAUGAGGAGUGUGCGG
RNAcentral lists this unclassified non-coding RNA (20 nucleotides) under Chlamydomonas reinhardtii. Its description in RNAcentral is "small RNA Cre_2215". The record is from RNAcentral. Lineage: Eukaryota; Viridiplantae; Chlorophyta; Chlorophyceae; Chlamydomonadales; Chlamydomonadaceae.